ACGAUGAUUCCAACUACAACUGC
RNAcentral lists this non-coding RNA (23 nucleotides) under Arabidopsis thaliana (thale cress). The record is from RNAcentral. Lineage: Eukaryota; Viridiplantae; Streptophyta; Magnoliopsida; Brassicales; Brassicaceae.